RNAcentral lists this unclassified non-coding RNA (1994 nucleotides) under Hevea brasiliensis (rubber tree). The record is from RNAcentral. Lineage: Eukaryota; Viridiplantae; Streptophyta; Magnoliopsida; Malpighiales; Euphorbiaceae.
CCCUUUUUCUUUCCAUUUUCAAGAAUAAUUUUUAAAAUGUACGUGCGAAAAUAAACUGUCAAAAGACAAGCAUUUGCACAUAUUAUACACACAAAGGAACUGUUUGAGCUCCUUAUGAGAGCUAAGAACAAGGGACACAGAUCAUUUUGAUUUUCAUUCCAAUUAAUCCCCAGGAUUCAUUUGACUCAUAAUUAGGAUUGUGUAAAUGAAGCUCCAAAACUGUUUAAGGCUAUGGAGAUUUCCCAACCUUAUCCUAUCGCGUUUCUUUGAUUGGAAACUGAAUGCCUCUUACUUCCAAGGAAGCUUAAAAGUGUCUUUCCACCAUCCCUGUUUUGAACAUUGAGCAAAUAUUCUGUCCAAUCGUACAAUGAUCUCAGAAAAGGUUGGCCUAGCAACAGGUUCUGGAUGCCAACAUUCGUCAAUCAACUCUUUUAGAUCUGGAGGACAACUUCUUGAUUUUGUCUUGAAUGACGGUCUCUGUUUCUCCAAACACAUCAAUUUCACAGCUUCUUCUGGAGAUUUAGGAUGGAAAGGCAGCACUCCCUCAAUCAUCUCAUAUAAAAUGACACCAAAAGAGUAUGCAUCCACACUUCUAUCAAAUAUUCCAUCUUUAUAAACCUCAGGUGCCACAUAAAUAUUUGAUGGGUCAAUGGGAGUUCCGGGUGCUACUUUAGCUUUGUCAGGUGAAAUCUUUAACAACUUUAUCAAACCAAACCCAGAUACCUUCAACUGACCACCAUUAUCCAGCAAAAUAUUUUUUGGCUUUAAAUCACAAUGGAUGAUGGAAUCUGGUUUGCAUUCAUGAAGAUAGUUCAUUCCCCUAGCGAUAUCAAGAGAAAAUCUCCAAAUUUUGGAUGGAGAAAGACGCCCCUUCUUCUGAAGAUAACUUGCGAAGUCACCUUUUGGAUGAUACUCUAAGACAAUCAUCAUGGGUAUAUUUUGGGUAACAGCCCCAACAAACUGAACCACAUUAGGAUGUCUGACCUUCUGUAAUAAGGUUAGCUCUUGUUUGAAAGCAUUUAUGCUCUCAGGGUCUGAAUAGCUGUCCUUAUCAAGUAUCUUUACAGUAACCUUGGUGCCAUUCCAUUUGGCCACUUGAUAUGAUCCCUUCGAGAUGCCAUCAGACUUCCGAACCUGCAGCUCUAAUGGAUUAAGCUCAUACUCUGGGACUUCUCGAGGAUUAGCAACAGCCAUUGGGGUCUUCCUGGUUUUCGGGAUUUGGGCUCCUCGAGCCUUCAAAACAUUGUAAAUUUCAACAUUUCCGUAGUACUUAGCAUCACCACAAGCCGUGCUCCCCCAGCGAUCACGAGCAUCGAUAUUAGCCUUUCUACUCAACAAAAGCUUAACAACCUCUAGAUGACCUUCACAAGCAGCAAUAUGCAAAGCAGUCCUCCCAUCCAAAUCAAUACUAUUAACAUCAAUUCCUUCAUUCAACAAAUCCUCAACGCCCUUCACAUCUCCUUUACUCGCCAUGAAAAGCAGUUGCAUCGUAGUAUCGAGAUUCUCCGGAACCGUAAACUUCUCAUCAUGGACAGGGCUCCUCCGAAUAGGAUCUAAUGACGACUGCCUCCCAAAGCUAAAUCUCAUAUUAUUCCUCCUGGGAUCGAGAGACUUCUGCCGAGAGAACUGCCGGCUAAAGGAUCUCCUCAGUGACCCGGUCGAGAACUGGCGGGAGAUUCCUCGCCUCAACUGCUUCGCUAUUCCUUCCAUUAAUUUGAUUGAUUUUAAUUAUAUUCUUAUGAUCUUUCCCCGUUCUUUCAAUUCGAGCAAAAAUCGAAAUUCUUUUUCCCUCUUGUUAUUAUUAAUUAUCGGAUAAAUCUUGUUUCCGAUUCGAAAUCGUUACAUACCAGCAGAUUGUUGUUUGCUCGAUGGAUCGAGAGCUUCUCUGGAGGCGAAUUGAGCUCUCAAUAUCGAGCGAUGGAAGGAUAGGGGAAGAAGAAAAUGAAAAGGGCAAAAAGAAAGGAUGAACGGAUGGUUUUUGAGAUCCGAGCGAA